CACGCCGUAAACGAUGAUUACUCGCUGUUGGCGAUACACUGUCAGCGGCUAAGCAAAAGCAAUAAGUAAUCCGCCUGGGAAGUACGGCCGCAAGGCUAAAACUCAAAUGAAUUGGCGGGGACCCGCACAAGCGGAGGAGCGCGUGGUUUAAUUCGACGGCAAUCGAAGAACCUUACCAGGGUUUGAAAUGUAUCUGCAUGCCCCAUGAAAGUGGGGAGGCUUUCGAAGGUGAUACACAGGUGC
Molecule: ribosomal RNA, 243 nt
Filed under: uncultured bacterium
Lineage: Bacteria
Description: partial 16S ribosomal RNA
Rfam family: Bacterial small subunit ribosomal RNA
Source: RNAcentral